GUAGUUGUGGCUGAGUGGUUAAGGUGAUGGACUAGAAAACCAUGGGGGGGUUUCCCCAUACAGGUUUGAAUCCUGUCAACUGCG
This is a non-coding RNA of Gopherus evgoodei (Goodes thornscrub tortoise), 84 nucleotides long. Lineage: Eukaryota; Metazoa; Chordata; Testudines; Testudinidae. The record is from the annotation of a RefSeq genome assembly.